Molecule: ribosomal RNA, 911 nt
Filed under: Trichocladium griseum
Lineage: Eukaryota; Fungi; Ascomycota; Sordariomycetes; Sordariales; Chaetomiaceae
Description: partial 28S ribosomal RNA
Rfam family: Eukaryotic large subunit ribosomal RNA
Source: RNAcentral
GGUUGACCUCGGAUCAGGUAGGAAGACCCGCUGAACUUAAGCAUAUCAAUAAGCGGAGGAAAAGAAACCAACAGGGAUUGCCCUAGUAACGGCGAGUGAAGCGGCAACAGCUCAAAUUUGAAAUCUGGCUUCGGCCCGAGUUGUAAUUUGUAGAGGAUGCUUUGGGCGCGGCUCUAACUGAGUUCCCUGGAACGGGACGCCACAGAGGGUGAGAGCCCCGUAUAGUUAGAUGCCUAGCCUAUGUAAAGCUCCUUCGACGAGUCGAGUAGUUUGGGAAUGCUGCUCUAAAUGGGAGGUAAAUUUCUUCUAAAGCUAAAUAUUGGCCAGAGACCGAUAGCGCACAAGUAGAGUGAUCGAAAGAUGAAAAGCACUUUGAAAAGAGGGUUAAAUAGCACGUGAAAUUGUUGAAAGGGAAGCGCUUGUGACCAGACUUGCGCCGGGCAGAUCAUCCGGUGUUCUCACCGGUGCACUCUGCCCGGCUCAGGCCAGCAUCGGUUCUCGUGGGGGGAUAAAGGUCCCGGGAACGUAGCUCCUCCGGGAGUGUUAUAGCCCGGGGCGUAAUGCCCUCGUGGGGACCGAGGUUCGCGCAUCUGCAAGGAUGCUGGCGUAAUGGUCAUCAGCGACCCGUCUUGAAACACGGACCAAGGAGUCAAGGUUUUGCGCGAGUGUUUGGGUGUAAAACCCGCACGCGUAAUGAAAGUGAACGUAGGUGAGAGCUUCGGCGCAUCAUCGACCGAUCCUGAUGUAUUCGGAUGGAUUUGAGUAAGAGCGUUAAGCCUUGGACCCGAAAGAUGGUGAACUAUGCUUGGAUAGGGUGAAGCCAGAGGAAACUCUGGUGGAGGCUCGCAGCGGUUCUGACGUGCAAAUCGAUCGUCAAAUCUGAGCAUGGGGCGAACAGUGCUAAUGCGUGA